RNAcentral lists this ribosomal RNA (253 nucleotides) under uncultured bacterium. Its description in RNAcentral is "partial 16S ribosomal RNA". It matches the Rfam family "Bacterial small subunit ribosomal RNA", at positions 524 to 776 of the family's 1533-position model. The record is from RNAcentral.
GACGAACCGUGCGAACGUUGUUCGGAAUCACUGGGCUUAAAGGGCGCGUAGGCGGGCUGCCAAGUCCGGGGUGAAAUCCUUCGGCCCAACCGGAAAAGUGCCUUGGAUACUGGCGGCCUGGAGGGAGGCAGGGGCGGAUGGAACUUCCGGUGGAGCGGUGAAAUGCGUUGAUAUCGGAAGGAACGCCGGUGGCGAAAGCGAUCCGCUGGACCUCUUCUGACGCUGAGGCGCGAAAGCCAGGGGAGCAAACGGG